UACGGGGGGGGCAAGCGUUGUUCGGAAUUACUGGGCGUAAAGGGCUCGUAGGUGGCCAACUAAGUCAGACGUGAAAUCCCUCGGCUUAACCGGGGAACUGCGUCUGAUACUGGAUGGCUUGAGUUCGGGAGAGGGAUGCGGAAUUCCAGGUGUAGCGGUGAAAUGCGUAGAUAUCUGGAGGAACACCGAUGGCGAAGGCAGGUCUCUGGGCCACUACUGACGCUGAGAAGCGAAAGCAUGGGGAGCGAACAGG
RNAcentral lists this ribosomal RNA (253 nucleotides) under uncultured bacterium. RNAcentral describes it as "partial 16S ribosomal RNA". It matches the Rfam family "Bacterial small subunit ribosomal RNA", at positions 524 to 776 of the family's 1533-position model. The record is from RNAcentral.